CUUUUACAAUGAAGAGUUUGAUCCUGGCUCAGGAUGAACGCUAGCUACAGGCUUAACACAUGCAAGUCGAGGGGCAGCAUUUCAGUUUGCUUGCAAACUGGAGAUGGCGACCGGCGCACGGGUGAGUAACACGUAUCCAACCUGCCGAUAACUCGGGGAUAGCCUUUCGAAAGAAAGAUUAAUACCCGAUGGUAUAAUCAGACCGCAUGGUCUUGUUAUUAAAGAAUUUCGGUUAUCGAUGGGGAUGCGUUCCAUUAGGCAGUUGGUGAGGUAACGGCUCACCAAACCUUCG
This 292-nucleotide ribosomal RNA is filed under the name Bacteroides thetaiotaomicron. RNAcentral's name for it is "partial 16S ribosomal RNA". It matches the Rfam family "Bacterial small subunit ribosomal RNA", at positions 1 to 278 of the family's 1533-position model. The record is from RNAcentral. Lineage: Bacteria; Pseudomonadati; Bacteroidota; Bacteroidia; Bacteroidales; Bacteroidaceae.